CCUACGGGAGGCAGCAGUGGGGAAUAUUGCACAAUGGGCGCAAGCCUGAUGCAGCGACGCCGCGUGAGGGAUGACGGCCUUCGGGUUGUAAACCUCUUUCAGUAGGGAAGAAGCGAAAGUGACGGUACCUGCAGAAGAAGCGCCGGCUAACUACGUGCCAGCAGCCGCGGUAAUACGUAGGGCGCAAGCGUUAUCCGGAAUUAUUGGGCGUAAAGAGCUCGUAGGCGGUUUGUCGCGUCUGCCGUGAAAGUCCGGGGCUCAACUCCGGAUCUGCGGUGGGUACGGGCAGACUAGAGUGAUGUAGGGGAGACUGGAAUUCCUGGUGUAGCGGUGAAAUGCGCAGAUAUCAGGAGGAACACCGAUGGCGAAGGCAGGUCUCUGGGCAUUAACUGACGCUGAGGAGCGAAAGCAUGGGGAGCGAACAGGAUUAGAUACCCUGGUAGUCCAUGCCGUAAACGUUGGGCACUAGGUGUGGGGGACAUUCCACGUUUUCCGCGCCGUAGCUAACGCAUUAAGUGCCCCGCCUGGGGAGUACGGCCGCAAGGCUAAACUCAAAGGAAUUGACGG
This 567-nucleotide ribosomal RNA is filed under the name uncultured bacterium. Its description in RNAcentral is "bacterial SSU rRNA". It matches the Rfam family "Bacterial small subunit ribosomal RNA", at positions 338 to 916 of the family's 1533-position model. The record is from RNAcentral.